UACGGGGGGUGCGAGCGUUGUCCGGAAUCACUGGGCGUAAAGGGCGCGUAGGCGGCCUGAUAAGUAGGGGGUGAAAUCCUGCGGCUUAACCGCAGGGCUGCCUUCUAAACUGUCAGGCUAGAGCACAGUAGAGGCAGGUGGAAUUCCCGGUGUAGCGGUGGAAUGCGUAGAGAUCCGGAGGAACACCAGUGGCGAAGGCGGCCGCCUGGACCUGACCUGACGCUGAGGCGCGAAGGCGUGGGGAGCGAACGGG
Molecule: ribosomal RNA, 253 nt
Filed under: uncultured bacterium
Lineage: Bacteria
Description: partial 16S ribosomal RNA
Rfam family: Bacterial small subunit ribosomal RNA
Source: RNAcentral